Molecule: transfer RNA, 84 nt
Filed under: Microcaldota archaeon
Lineage: Archaea; Nanobdellati; Microcaldota
Description: Candidatus Micrarchaeota archaeon (hot springs metagenome) tRNA-Ser
Rfam family: tRNA
About the family: Transfer RNA (tRNA) molecules are approximately 80 nucleotides in length. Their secondary structure includes four short double-helical elements and three loops (D, anti-codon, and T loops). Further hydrogen bonds mediate the characteristic L-shaped molecular structure. tRNAs have two regions of fundamental functional importance: the anti-codon, which is responsible for specific mRNA codon recognition, and the 3' end, to which the tRNAs corresponding amino acid is attached (by aminoacyl-tRNA synthetases). tRNAs cope with the degeneracy of the genetic code in two manners: having more than one tRNA (with a specific anti-codon) for a particular amino acid; and 'wobble' base-pairing, i.e. permitting non-standard base-pairing at the 3rd anti-codon position.
Source: RNAcentral
GCCGGAGUGGCAGAACCCGGUAAUGCGCUAGACUCGAGAUCUAGUGUCCGCAAGGACUUAGGAGUUCAAAUCUCCUCUCCGGCG